This 1343-nucleotide ribosomal RNA is filed under the name uncultured bacterium. RNAcentral describes it as "16S ribosomal RNA". It matches the Rfam family "Bacterial small subunit ribosomal RNA", at positions 28 to 1378 of the family's 1533-position model. The record is from RNAcentral.
GACGAACGCUGGCGGCGUGCUUAACACAUGCAAGUCGAACGGAAAGGCCCUGCUUUUGUGGGGUGCUCGAGUGGCGAACGGGUGAGUAACACGUGAGUAACCUGCCCUUGACUUUGGGAUAACUUCAGGAAACUGGGGCUAAUACCGGAUAGGAGCUCCUGCUGCAUGGUGGGGGUUGGAAAGUUUCGGCGGUUGGGGAUGGACUCGCGGCUUAUCAGCUUGUUGGUGGGGUAGUGGCUUACCAAGGCUUUGACGGGUAGCCGGCCUGAGAGGGUGACCGGCCACAUUGGGACUGAGAUACGGCCCAGACUCCUACGGGAGGCAGCAGUGGGGAAUAUUGCACAAUGGGCGGAAGCCUGAUGCAGCAACGCCGCGUGCGGGAUGACGGCCUUCGGGUUGUAAACCGCUUUCGCCUGUGACGAAGCGUGAGUGACGGUAAUGGGUAAAGAAGCACCGGCUAACUACGUGCCAGCAGCCGCGGUGAUACGUAGGGUGCGAGCGUUGUCCGGAUUUAUUGGGCGUAAAGGGCUCGUAGGUGGUUGAUCGCGUCGGAAGUGUAAUCUUGGGGCUUAACCCUGAGCGUGCUUUCGAUACGGGUUGACUUGAGGAAGGUAGGGGAGAAUGGAAUUCCUGGUGGAGCGGUGGAAUGCGCAGAUAUCAGGAGGAACACCAGUGGCGAAGGCGGUUCUCUGGGCCUUUCCUGACGCUGAGGAGCGAAAGCGUGGGGAGCGAACAGGCUUAGAUACCCUGGUAGUCCACGCUGUAAACGGUGGGUACUAGGUGUGGGGUCCAUUCCACGGGUUCCGUGCCGUAGCUAACGCUUUAAGUACCCCGCCUGGGGAGUACGGCCGCAAGGCUAAAACUCAAAGGAAUUGACGGGGCCCCGCACAAGCGGCGGAGCAUGCGGAUUAAUUCGAUGCAACGCGUAGAACCUUACCUGGGUUUGACAUGGAUCGGGAGCGCUCAGAGAUGGGUGUGCCUCUUUUGGGGUCGGUUCACAGGUGGUGCAUGGCUGUCGUCAGCUCGUGUCGUGAGAUGUUGGGUUAAGUCCCGCAACGAGCGCAACCCUUGUUCACUGUUGCCAGCACGUUAUGGUGGGGACUCAGUGGAGACCGCCGGGGUCAACUCGGAGGAAGGUGGGGAUGACGUCAAGUCAUCAUGCCCCUUAUGUCCAGGGCUUCACGCAUGCUACAAUGGCUGGUACAGAGAGUGGCGAGCCUGUGAGGGUGAGCGAAUCUCGGAAAGCCGGUCCCAGUUCGGAUUGGGGUCUGCAACUCGACCUCAUGAAGUCGGAGUCGCUAGUAAUCGCAGAUCAGCAACGCUGCGGUGAAUACGUUCCCGGG